Molecule: transfer RNA, 72 nt
Filed under: Candidatus Levyibacteriota bacterium
Lineage: Bacteria; Candidatus Levyibacteriota
Description: tRNA-Val
Rfam family: tRNA
About the family: Transfer RNA (tRNA) molecules are approximately 80 nucleotides in length. Their secondary structure includes four short double-helical elements and three loops (D, anti-codon, and T loops).
Source: RNAcentral
GGACUCGUAGCUCAGUGGUAGAGCGUUCGGUUCACAUCCGAAAGGUCAGAGGUUCGAGACCUCUCGAGUCCA